Molecule: long non-coding RNA, 740 nt
Filed under: Equus caballus (horse)
Lineage: Eukaryota; Metazoa; Chordata; Mammalia; Perissodactyla; Equidae
Description: lncRNA (ENSECAG00000050327.1)
Source: RNAcentral
CUGGUACCAGAGGAAGAAACAUGGAAACUGUGGAAUCCUCCUGUGCCAUCCUGGGAGGUGACCCUCCAAUCUCUGCAGAUCCUUCUAGGAGCUGGUCUGAGCAUCGAAUUGCUCUACAUCUAGUUUUACAUUUCAAGGGGAAAGAUUAUUGCAAUGGAGAGGCCUGAUGACUUUUUGAGACCAAUGUUGGGAAGACAUGAGUUUCACCUAUUCUCAAGCAACCUGGAGGUCCAUGGAUUGCAGCCAUCUGUGGGUGUUGUGGAGGCUGAGUCUGUGUCAUGCACCAUGAGGCUGGGUGCAGAAGGGAGUUGUUUUGCUGGAGAGGGAGGUUUUCUGACCUCUCAACGCCCACACCUCAACCCAUCAGAAGUCAUAACUCAAGAAAUGAUAACAGAUUAGCUGUGAGCGAACAUCUGCCACCAAUCCUCCUCUUUUUGCUGAGGAGGACCGGCCCUGAGCUAACAUCCAUGCCCAUCUUCCUCUACUUUAUACAUGAGAUGCCUGCCAUGGCAUGGCUUGUGAAACAAGUGUAAGGUCUGCACUGGGGAUCCGAACCGGCAAACCCUGGGCCGCCGAAGUGGAAUGUGCGAACUUAACCAAUGAGCCACUGGGCUGGCCCCUGAGGAGAUUUCUAAGCAAAGUGUUGAAGGAGUGGCUUUGUUCCUCUUGAAUGCUUAUAGUAAAAUGUGAAAGGAAAGAGAUGAAAUGAAGAAGAGAUCGUUCAGCAAAAAGGAAACAGA